UGUGGCCUACGGGGGGCAGCAGUGAGGAAUAUUGGUCAAUGGGCGGAAGCCUGAACCAGCCAAGUCGCGUGAGGGAAUAAGGCCCUACGGGUCGUAAACCUCUUUUGCCGGGGAGCAAGGGCGGGGACGUGUCCCGGCCCGGAGAGUACCCGGAGAAAAAGCAUCGGCUAACUCCGUGCCAGCAGCCGCGGUAAUACGGAGGAUGCGAGCGUUAUCCGGAUUUAUUGGGUUUAAAGGGUGCGUAGGCGGGCUUUUAAGUCAGCGGUAAAAAUUUGGGGGUGAACCACGUGCGGGCGUUGAAAAUG
RNAcentral lists this ribosomal RNA (305 nucleotides) under uncultured bacterium. Its description in RNAcentral is "bacterial SSU rRNA". It matches the Rfam family "Bacterial small subunit ribosomal RNA", at positions 333 to 635 of the family's 1533-position model. The record is from RNAcentral.